Molecule: long non-coding RNA, 323 nt
Filed under: Arachis ipaensis
Lineage: Eukaryota; Viridiplantae; Streptophyta; Magnoliopsida; Fabales; Fabaceae
Description: long non-coding RNA (AIPA_LNC000371)
Source: RNAcentral
UCUUUCCUUUCCUAACUCUGCCCUCACUCUCCACCCUCCUUAGAGUUCUUGAAAAACCCUAAUUUUGCCAUCCCCGUUCUUUUUCUUAUUUCAGAUUCAGGGGCAUUUCAGAGAAGAGAAGUAGUUAGGGUUUUCAGACAACUGCAAUCCCUGCCAUUCUCAUACCCUUCCUCUGCUGCAAAUUUCCGCCACCUACUUCCGCCGACGCGCCACGCCUCCGCCGCCGCCGCACCCUGCCUCCGCCUCGCCCCGCUUCCGCCUCGCCCUGCUUCCGCCGCCGCACCACGCCUCCCACGCUCAAUAAGACAAGAGGUUUCUGCGGC